GUCCAGGGUAGCCUAGUGGACAUGGCAUCUGCCCGGUAAGCGGAACACUGUGGGUUCGUUUCCCAUCCCUUAACA
Molecule: transfer RNA, 75 nt
Filed under: Cordylochernes scorpioides
Lineage: Eukaryota; Metazoa; Arthropoda; Arachnida; Pseudoscorpiones; Chernetidae
Description: tRNA-Thr
Rfam family: tRNA
About the family: Transfer RNA (tRNA) molecules are approximately 80 nucleotides in length.
Source: RNAcentral